RNAcentral lists this ribosomal RNA (500 nucleotides) under uncultured Glomus. RNAcentral describes it as "SSU rRNA". It matches the Rfam family "Eukaryotic small subunit ribosomal RNA", at positions 591 to 1092 of the family's 1831-position model. The record is from RNAcentral. Lineage: Eukaryota; Fungi; Glomeromycota; Glomeromycetes; Glomerales; Glomeraceae.
CCAAUAGCGUAUAUUAAAGUUGUUGCAGUUAAAAAGCUCGUAGUUGAAUUUCGGGGUCAGUAGGUUGGUCGUGCCACUGGUAUGCACUGGUCUCACUGAUUCCUCCUUCCUGAUGAACCGUAAUGCCAUUAAUUUGGUGUUGCGGGGAAUCUGGACUGUUACUUUGAAAAAAUUAGAGUGUUUAAAGCAGGCUAACGCUUGAAUACAUUAGCAUGGAAUAAUGAAAUAGGACGUUCGAUCUUAUUUUGUUGGUUUCUAAGAUUGACGUAAUGAUUAAUAGGGAUAGUUGGGGGCAUUAGUAUUCAAUUGUCAGAGGUGAAUUUCUUGGAUUUAUUGAAGACUAACUACUGCGAAAGCAGUUGCCAAGGAUGUUUUCAUUAAUCAAGAAAGAAAGUUAGGGGAUCGAAGACGAUCAGAUACCGUCGUAGUCUUAACCAUAAACUAUGCCGACGAGGGAUCGGAUGAUGUUAAUUUUUUAAUGACUCAUUCGGCGCCUUACG